UUUUAAGCAAGAUCAAUGAUUCAAUUGAUAGAUAUUGAGGUUCUAAAGUGUACUAGGAUUAGAUUAAGUAAAAUUAGAGUUUGGUUUAGGGUUUGAUUUAAGGUUUAGGAUUUGUCUAGGAUUUGGUUUAGAAUUUAGGAUUUAUUUAGAAUUUAAUAUAAGAUUUAGAAUUUUUCUAAAGUUUGAUUUAGGAUUUGAUUUAGGAUUUAGGAUUUGUCUAAGGUUUGGUUUAGGAUUUGAUUUAGGAUUUAGAAUUUAAUCUAAGAUUUGGUUUAGGAUUUAGGAUUUUUCUAGGAUUUGAUUUAGGAUUUGAAUUAGGAUUUAAGAUUUGUCUAAGAUUUGAUUUAGGAUUUGAUUUAUAUCAAGGAUUAAAUUUAGAAUUUGAUUUAGGAUUUAAGAUUUGAUUUAGGAUUUGGUUUAGGAUUUAGGAUUUAUCUAGGAUUUGAUUUAGGAUUUAGGAUUUGUCUAAGGUUUGAUUUAAGAUUUGAUUUAGGAUUUAUAAUUUGUGUAAGAUUUGUUUUAGGAUUUGAUUUAAGAUCUAAAGUUUGAUUUAAGAUUUGGUUUAGGAUUUAAGGUUUGUCUAAGAUUCAAUUUAAGAUUUGAUUUAGGAUCAAGAGUUUGAUUUAAGAUUUGGUUUAGAACUUAGGAUUUGAUUUAGGAUCAAAGGUUUGAUCUAGGAUUUGAUUUAGGAUUUAUAAUUUGUCUAAGGUUUGUUUUAGGAUUUGAUUUAG
RNAcentral lists this long non-coding RNA (731 nucleotides) under Physcomitrium patens. Its description in RNAcentral is "long non-coding RNA (PPAT_LNC009931)". The record is from RNAcentral. Lineage: Eukaryota; Viridiplantae; Streptophyta; Bryopsida; Funariales; Funariaceae.